UCGCCCGUCGGUGUGGGGAGUAGCCGGCUAACGCCCGGGUAAUACCGCAUACGUUCUUUCGGGGAGUCCCUGGGAGAGGAAAGCUCCGGCGCACGGGAGGGGUUCGCGGCCUAUCAGCUAGUUGGCGGGGUAAUGGCCCACCAAGGCGACGACGGGUAGCUGGUCUGAGAGGAUGGCCAGCCACAUUGGGACUGAGAGACGGCCCAG
Molecule: ribosomal RNA, 207 nt
Filed under: uncultured bacterium
Lineage: Bacteria
Description: partial 16S ribosomal RNA
Rfam family: Bacterial small subunit ribosomal RNA
Source: RNAcentral